This 447-nucleotide ribosomal RNA is filed under the name uncultured bacterium. Its description in RNAcentral is "bacterial SSU rRNA". It matches the Rfam family "Bacterial small subunit ribosomal RNA", at positions 355 to 825 of the family's 1533-position model. The record is from RNAcentral.
UGGGGAAUCUUGCACAAUGGGGGAAACCCUGAUGCAGCGACGCCGCGUGAGCGAUGAAGCCCUUCGGGGUGUAAAGCUCUUUCGGCAGGAACGAUAAUGACGGUACCUGCAGAAGAAGCUGCGGCUAACUACGUGCCAGCAGCCGCGGUAAUACGUAGGCAGCGAGCGUUGUUCGGAAUUACUGGGCGUAAAGAGUGUGUAGGUGGUGUCGUAAGUUUGGUGUGAAAUCUCCCGGCUUAACUGGGAGGGUGCGCCGAAGACUGCGAUGCUGGAGUAUGGGAGAGGAAAGCGGAAUUCCUGGUGUAGCGGUGAAAUGCGUAGAUAUCAGGAGGAACACCUGCGGUGUAGACGGCUUUCUGGACCAUUACUGACACUGAGACACGAAAGCGUGGGUAGCAAACAGGAUUAGAUACCCCAGUAGUCCCUGAGCGGGCUGGCAAGGCGCAU